UACACUUUGGUGUAUGAGGCACACGAGCUUUUGAUGCUCUUGGGGUAGUUUAAUUCUACAAUGUGUAA
This 68-nucleotide transfer RNA is filed under the name Tramea virginia. RNAcentral describes it as "tRNA-Gln". RNAcentral also lists the same sequence under 1 other name. Lineage: Eukaryota; Metazoa; Arthropoda; Insecta; Odonata; Libellulidae. The record is from RNAcentral.